This 739-nucleotide ribosomal RNA is filed under the name Trentepohliaceae sp. Kukwa 19759. RNAcentral describes it as "SSU rRNA". It matches the Rfam family "Eukaryotic small subunit ribosomal RNA", at positions 290 to 1038 of the family's 1831-position model. The record is from RNAcentral. Lineage: Eukaryota; Viridiplantae; Chlorophyta; Ulvophyceae; Trentepohliales; Trentepohliaceae.
AUGUUUCAUUCAAAUUUCUGCCCUAUCAACUUUCGACGGUAGGGUAGUGGCCUACCGUGGUGGUAACGGGUGACGGAGGAUUAGGGUUCGAUUCCGGAGAGGGAGCCUGAGAAACGGCUACCACAUCCAAGGAAGGCAGCAGGCGCGCAAAUUACCCAAAUCCCAACUCGGGGAGGUAGUGACAAGAAAUAACGAUGCUCCGACCUAUGGUCGGGUAAUCGGAAUGAGAACAAUUUAAAUCCCUUAUCGAGGAUCAAUUGGAGGGCAAGUCUGGUGCCAGCAGCCGCGGUAAUUCCAGCUCCAAUAGCGUAUAUUUAAGUUGCUGCGGUUAAAAAGCUCGUAGUCGGAUUUCGGGUGGUUCCUGCCGGUCCGCCUCUGGUGUGUACUGGUAUGCGCCACCUUUCUGCCGAGGACGGGCUCCUGGGUUUAAUUAUCUGGGACCCGGAGUCGGCGUUGUCACUUUGAGUAAAUUAGGGUGUUUAAAGCAGGCUCAUGCUCUGAAUACACUAGCAUGGGAUGACACGAUAGGACUCCGGUCUAUCUUGUCGGUCUGUAGAGUGGAGUAAUGAUUAAGAGGGACAGUCGGGGGCAUUCGUAUUUCGUAGUCAGAGGUGAAAUUCUUGGAUUUACGGAAGACGAACUUCUGCGAAAGCAUUUGCCAAGGAUGUUUUCAUUGAUCAAGAACGAAAGUCGGGGGCUCGAAGACGAUUAGAUACCGUCGUAGUCUCGACCAUAAACA